Long non-coding RNA from Sphaeramia orbicularis (orbiculate cardinalfish), 2179 nucleotides. RefSeq lists it as uncharacterized. The record is from RefSeq and is a predicted model, not a curated record. The transcript is spliced from 2 exons. Lineage: Eukaryota; Metazoa; Chordata; Actinopteri; Kurtiformes; Apogonidae.
AGCCUCCAGGAGAUCGCUGGGCUCUCUGAGGUUGGGCUUGAAUGUCUCUGGCUCCAUCUCUGUCUUGAUGGAUGUGCCAUGCUUGGAGUUAACCUCUUCCUUGGUGGUGAUCUGGAAUCGUUUGCAGAGUGGAGCGCAUAUCUUCACUGUUUAGCGCAUCACAUCCGACGGUGGUACUCCGUCAGAGACACUACCUGGUAGUACAAAGACAGGAACAGGUGGAACAUAAAACUCUGGCCAGUUCUGUUGCUGGCCAUGGGAAAAAAGGCGAAGUUUGGAAGGCAUUAUUUGCACUAAUUAGUGCAAUUCUUGCAAACUUACUCUCUAUUAAUAGACAGAUGUCAGAAAAUAAGUAAUUCAUGGAAUGGCUUAUGGCCACUUCUACUGUGAAACUUUGAGUAGAGAGAAGAGAUCAGGGCAUGUUGUAGCACUCAGGCAUUUGCAUGUUUGUGUAAUGUUUAUUUAACCCAUUUUUUGCACAGGCAAAGCUGCUAUUUUCAUAAAACCCUCAACAGAGCAAAUACUUUGAUGUGAAUCAAAUAGACUCGUAAUUAGAGAUCACUUGAGAAAUACAGAUUUUAGGUGCUUGAAUAUACAGGCAACAGCAGUGACAACUCAAAGUCCGUAAACAAACCACCCUCUGUUUGUUGGGAACAAUAAUCUGCAAAACUACAACCCAGACAGACUAACACAAUGACCCAUCAAGCCUGGCCACAUUCCAGCAAAGUUACACCCCACGCUGCAGCACAGUCCACUGAGAGCUGCUGCCUCUGUUCUGACACUGAACUAACGUUGGCGUAUUCAUGCAGCUCAGCUCAGGUCAGGAUGGAAAGGCCUUAUGCACGAGAUAAACACAGUCACAAAUAGGAUACACACACAGUCCCACCCACUGCCUUUUGAGAUACAUAUUAUCAGGGGACAUGUGUUUUUUUCCUGUUACUCACCUUGUUGCUGCUGGUGUAAAUAACUUUUUUGGUAACAAGCUGUCUCUUUACAGCUCUCAAUAAUGCAGCAGAAAGGGUAAACUACAGUCUUCAUAAAUCAUGCAUCACUUCACCUUCAACUGGAGGCACUUAAGUAAUGUUUGUCCCCUAGAAACGGUUAAGCUAGCAGCAUGCUAACUCUAAGAUCUUCCCAUGUAAGGACAAGACAUGACCCAGUGUUAUUUUUUAUUCCAUCAAUGUCAUGGAAAAGGUCAGAAAUGGAUGUGGAGAUGGAGCUAAGGGCUGGGUCCUCAAGUCCAGGUGGCUAACAGUCAGUUAUCAUGCCAGCAAACUCACGUGAGGACUGACAUCUUUCCCGUGAUAUUAAACUCGUUAGCGUAUGACUAUGUAGUACUCUUGUUAUAUGUUCUAAUUGCCUCUCAGCUGCAGAAACUUUCAGACAGCUUACAAAGCCACACACAGCACUGGCACACGAUGCCAAGAGGACUAAAACAGAUGAGAGCUCUGUCCUGACUGCCAAUAGAGACCAGAUAGUGGCGACUUUGUUUAACAACCCGCACCGGACUAACGGUCAACAGCAGACCCUACCGGACCGGCUAGCAGGCUAGUUAGCCUCGCUAGCCAGCUAGCACGGUUGGCUAACAACAAGACAACAUACAUGAACAUAUACAUCGCCAGAGGAAAAAAAACGUCAACUGGAUACAAGCGACAUACACAGGUAUACUUAGGAGUCAGACGUUUCUCUUGCUCCUUCACUCUCCUAGAAAACAUAUCUUGCUUCCUGAGCGAGGUUGAAGCUGGAAAGUCACAUUACAGAUCCUGUAAGUUCUCCUCGUAACCUCAAGACACCGCUGGCAGACGGAGUUGGGAAGUAGCCUGGCAGCUCCACUAAAAACAAGCCUUGAAUUUCCAAACGCCGCAUGAUUUGUGUGACAUCGCUGACAUCCAAUGACAACACGGGACAAGAGAAAAACCGGCUCCUCAUUGGUCAAAAAAAUAUAUGAGACCGUCCCAAAACCGAAGGAUUUAAAGACACAGUCACAAACAAAACGGAGAAAAUACAAAGUAGUAGUUUUCAGUAGUUUUACUUAAGUAAGAGUACUACUAAUUACAACCACUAACUAAAUCGAUCGAAAAUACUGCUUUUAAAAACUGUACUUGAGUAAAAAUAUGUAAGGCUUACCAGCAAAAUGUACUUAGUUAAAGAAAAAGUAGCCAAAAAGUAUUUUACAUUU